GGCUUAAGACAUGCAAGUCGAACGGUAACGACACUAGCUUGCUAGUGGUCGACGAGUGGCGGACGGGUGAGUAACGCGUAGGAAUCUACCUAGUAGUGGGGGAUAGCCAAGGGAAACUUUGGGUAAUACCGCAUACGAUCUAAGGAUGAAAGGGGGCCUCUCUUUGAAGCUCUCGCUAUUAGAUGAGCCUGCGUAAGAUUAGCUUGUUGGUGGGGUAAUGGCCCACCAAGGCGACGAUCUUUAGCUGGUCUGAGAGGAUGAUCAGUCACACUGGAACUGAGACACGGUCCAGACUCCUACGGGAGGCAGCAGUCGGGAAUAUUGGACAAUGGGGGAAACCCUGAUCCAGCCAUGCCGCGUGUGUGAAGAAGGCCCUAGGGUUGUAAAGCACUUUUAGUAGUGAGGAAGGCUCGGUAGUUAAUACCUACCGGGAUUGACGUUAGCUACAGAAAAAGCACCGGCUAA
RNAcentral lists this ribosomal RNA (465 nucleotides) under uncultured Gammaproteobacteria bacterium. RNAcentral's name for it is "bacterial SSU rRNA". It matches the Rfam family "Bacterial small subunit ribosomal RNA", at positions 45 to 500 of the family's 1533-position model. Lineage: Bacteria; Pseudomonadati; Pseudomonadota; Gammaproteobacteria. The record is from RNAcentral.